UUUUUUUCUUUUUCUUUUUACGGCUGCACCUGCAGCGUAUAGAAGUUCCUGGGCUAGGGGCAGAAACGGAACUGCAGCUGCCAGCCACAGCCACAGCCACAGCCACAGCCACGCCGGGUCCCAGCCACAUCUGCAGCCUAUGUUACAGCUUGUGGCAGCGCCAGAUCCUUAACCACCUGAGCAAGGCCCGGGACUGAAUCCUUAUCCUCAUGGACACCAUGUGGGGGUCUUGACCUGCUGAGCCACCAUGGGAGCUCCCCCCCACAGGCUUUGUAAAUGCUGUUCCUUUGCCUUGAGGUCUCCUGCCCUCUUUCAUUAGGUCCUAUCUGUCUUUUGGAUGUGUUUGGACAUGACAUACAGGAGAAGCCUUUCCUGACACUCUAAAUCUAGGUUAGAAUGUUCCUAUUGUGUUUGUAGCAAUUGGCUGGUUUUUUUGUCUCUGACCCCUUAGACUGUAAACUCCACGAGGGCAAGAACUACGUCAAUCUGUUUGCCAACCGAAUCUCAGUGCCCAGCAAGGUGCCUGCACCCAGUAAGGGCUUGGUAACUAGUCAGGGAACAAAUCAAUGGGUUCCCAAGCCUGAUCUAUCGUGUCGAAAGAGCAUCGGUAACUUUAUACCUAACAGAUUAGAAAAUACCAAGCUAACAGUGCCUAGGUGUCCAUACACAGCUUUUGACAAAUGCGGCCCGUCUGAGACCUCUGAAAAACAUGCUUUAGCCCAAUUACCUGGAUCUCAUACAUGACCGGCUAAAUAGAGCCUGACCAUCUGUCUGUCAUAGCGCCAAGAAACUCACUGCCACCAGGUGUCCCCCAGAUAGGUGGGGAUCAAUUAGUAAUUAUAAUUGAAGCAUCGUGUAAUUUAUCACUUAAUCCUAAGCUGCUCAAGUUGAAUUCCACUGACAUGACAUCAUACAACCGGGGGAACCACAGAAAAUAAUUCAAAGGGAAAAAAUGGAUAUGAAAAAAUCCUGGGCCAAUUCUUUCCCUGGGCAGCCAGGAACUUGGGUGUAUCGGGCCAAUUAUACCAACACGUAGUAGGAGGAAAUAAUGAGGGUUGGGCAGAGGUGUCUGAUGAGAACUUCACCCGCGGUGGUAAGAAGCAAUCUGUCAGCAGGCGGAUUCAGAGGCCAAAUGGGUCCGUGUGUCCAGAGGAUCCAGAGGACAGAGCGCCACGUACGGGACCUGGGUCAUCUGGCCACCUACCCACACAGCUUUCCGUCCCCAGGGCCCGUGAACAAAAGAGGAAAGGGAGACAGGCCACGGCAGUGGUUUCUGUUCUCUUGUCCUGUAGUUUGGGGAUCAUCCGAAUGAUACCCCUCGACCAACACCGAGCAGUGUUUUUACCAGGUUCACCCUCGCCCUUAACAGAUCAGUUUACGUGGACAGACACAGAGACGGAAAGUGUGUAUCCUCUCUACGUGUCAUGCUCGUCACGACCUGAAGUUUACCACCGGGCUCAGGACGAUGAUAAAUUAAACCAAUACAGAUGCUUGAAAGAAACGGCAGUAUAUCUUUACAGCAGAAAUCCACAGGGGCUCCUCCAGAACGAUGCUGUAGAUCCGUGACUGGGCCUGGGGUCCUUUAGACCCUUUUGCCAAAAUACAAAUUCCAGAGCCAUCAUCCUGGAGAUUCUGACUCUGCAGAUCCAAGCGAGGGCUUAGGAAUCUGAAUUUUAACGAGCAUUCUCCUGGGAGAUGUGUAUGCAGUAAGACCGUGGAUAGGAAGCACCACCCAGAGAUCCGUACUUGUUUAUGGGGAAAUGUGGGGAUAUAGACUAUGAAGUUGUGUGCAUUAUAAAACAGUCCCAUUUAAAAAUACCCAGAUAGAUAAAAUACAGACAAAAGAAAGACAGAGUAAUGCAGAGAUGCACAGAAAUGUCUGGAAGGAUAGACACAAAGAUGUUAACAGUAAGCGGUGGGACAAUACAGUGUUUUUCUUUUCUUUUUGUCUUUUUUUGAGCCAUCCGCAUGGCAUAUGAAGGUCCCAGGCUAGGGGUCCAAUCGGAGCUGUAGCUGCUGGCCUACACCCUAGCCACAGCCACAGCCACAGCCACGCCAGAUCCAAGCCACGUCUGUGACCUACACCAUAGCUCACAGCAACGCCGGAUCCUUAACCCACUGAGGGAGCCCAGGGAUUGAACCUGUGUCCUCAUGGAUACUAGUCAGAUUCAUUUCUGCUGAGCCAUGAUGGGAACUCCUGAGAAUAUGCUGUUUUUCAAAAAAUAUUUUUGCUCCAUGUAUUUUAUAAUUUUCCGCAAUGCAUUUAUACUGCCCUUAUACCAACAAAAAGAUAUUUUUAAUUAUAAGAGAAAUAUUUACCAAGCUCCUAACAUGCCACAAGCAUCAGGGCUACAAAGAUGAAAUCAGGUCACAAUUUUCUACCGUGAGCCCCUGGAGGGAGAGGACACAACCCCACGUGCAUUGGGACAGCUGGAGGACCUGCUGUGGGAGCACCAAGGCCUGGAGCGCCCCCUGCUGAGGCAUCCCAGCUGUAACGUUGGCCAUCACAGCGGCAGGCACCCAUCUGGCUGCUACAGAGCCGUGAACGGCCGGGAAACACAUUGGCAAUACUGGGGAUAGAGAAUGAAUUUCCCUAUAGACAGUUGGGGUUCUGGUCAAAGAAGCCUCACAACACUAAACAAAAGAAACCCAACACAAACAAAAAAACAGCAACCAGAAAAUUCCAACUCACAACAUGAAGAACAAAGCAGUAACUUAAACCAAUGAAUGACAGGUGUGACUUUGGAUCGGGACCUCCCGGAGGAGGGACCAGGAGAUGCCGGAUGUGCUGCUCAGAGGCAUUCUCCCUCCCAGCCAGGCUAUUACUCAGAACCGCCUGUUCUCUGCCUCAUCAAAUCCCACCCAGCCUUCAAGCCCAGCUAGCCCCUCUCCUACGGGUCUCCCCGACACUGUGGUUCUGGAGCAUCUCCAUCCAUUGAGCAUACAGUACUUUACCGGACAUACAUUGUGCAACCAUGUGUGUUUGGCCUGCAUUAUUUAUCUCUUGGAUUAAGAGGUCAUGUGACAACUUCUUAAAAGGAAAAUAAUCUCGUUUCUUCAAGAAGGCUGCCAGGUCUUGAGGGAUGGUUUAAAAGACAAUUCCAGGCACAUCAACAUUAGGCAUGAAAUUCCCACUUUUAAAAUGUCAUGUUGACCAGAAGUACUUUAUUUAGAAUUUUAAAGAAGCUCAACAUUGAAAAAUAAGAACUGGUUAAACUAAAUUGGUUGUUUGGGAAUAAAUGCCAUUACAAUGUUCUAACUACCCAUAGUUGUUUUUUUGUUUUUUGUUUUUUUAACCACUGCUAUUUUAUCCUGAUGCAUUUAUAUUUGGGGGGGAGUGGCUUGUUUUUAUUUAUUUUUGUUUGUUUGUUUUUGUUUUGGGCUGCACUCUCGACAUGCAGAAGUUCCCAGGCCAGGGAUCAAGCCAGCAGCCAUAGCAGUGAUAACACCAGAUCCUUAACUGCUAGACCAAAACUCUCCAUACGUUUUAUUUUAAAUUCAACAGUAGGCAUCUACUUGCCAAAUGGUCACAUUCUAUGAUUCUAAAAAGCUGGUUUGGAAAUAAUUCAUUUCUUUAAUAUCUAUCAGAUUAGAACUACUAAGUAUUUUAGCAAACAUGACUACCGCUUGGGAGAGGAGAAAUUCACAAUCUUGGAAGAAUAAGAAUGUGCUUUCCUUAAAAACAAUUGUCUAAGAAGAGACUGUUAAAGACGCUUUCCUUAAAUUCAGCAUGAGAAGAAAAGAUCUGCUUCUGGGAAAAAGCUGAUGAGAAUGAUAACAACAGAUGUUUGGCUCACAUCAUAAAGCUGUGUUGUGUAAAUUCCAGCCGAUGUGUUCAAAGACAAGGUAGUGCAUUAUUUUAAAAGCUUUCUUUUUCUGACGGCCGAGCAAAGGGAAAAGCAGAGGCACAUUACAACAUUACUCUAGCGCCCUCUGCUGUCCUAUUUGCAACACGCCUUUCUGAGUUCCUCAUUUGCCUUUUCUAGAGCUAUUUGCAAAGGAGCUCUUUGGGAAGCCACUAAUGUGUCUGGAGGGGAAUGGCUCGUCAAAGAAAACCAAAUACCCAGAUCUUACAACCUGACGGUGUGCUAUUUAUGCCCACACACACUGUUUACCGCCCUCUGGGGAGCCAGAGGUAGCAUUGUGCGUAUUAGACUCUUACAGGUGAGUGGAGUCAGGAAACAUUAGGGCUCCAAAAGGAAAUCUUUAUAAUCCUAUUCAAUGCUUGGUCUGUGGAAAAUUUGCAGAGGAUGCCAUAGGUGACCUGAUGAGAGCUGAAUGUCUGAUGGACACCUGCAGGACUAAACCUGCUUUAUUGAAAAGAAGUUGAAUAAAUAAGAUGAGUAAAGCUUAAUCACCAGAAGCAACGUCAGCUCUUUUUAAAUGGGGGUCAGAAAUGCAAAUAUGCUCCUUUAAUACAUAUAGAUUUAGAAGUGACUUCAGAUUUGGGAGUCAACCUAACCUGAAAUACUAAAAUAAAUUCAUACCUGCUACUCAAUAAAUAUUCUAAAACUAAGGAUAAAAGUAUGUAAAUUAUAACUGGGCAUAAAUGAAGAAAUAAACACACAAAUUUAAUCAAUCCAAUAUAAUGAAUACAAAUCUCUACAGGAAAUAAGCACAAAUGCUAAUAGGGUUUGUUUAAAGACAUAAAAUUAAUGUUUCAUGUUUUUCCUUCCACAUCUUUUCUGCUUUUUUUCUUUUGGUCAUGACAGGAAGUUACUUUUAUAGUGGGGGAAAAUACUGAACUCACUUCCAGAAAUAGUCUGAAAGGAGAGGAGCUUGCUCAGGUCUUUCUGAAUACAUAUGUAAAGAAAAUUAGCACAAGAGGAAGGAGGUAUUUUGUCCUCUUCCCCAAUUGUCCCAGUUGGUAACUAUAAAUCCAACUUUUCCUUAUGAUAAUGUCACCUAUUGCCUUUUGACUCUUUAUCAUCUAAUCCUAAAUCCAUCCACAGGCGAGAAGGAGCUGUCCCCGUUUCUGGCUAUUGCCCGCCGGUCUUUUUCACUGUCACAGCUGAGUAAUUGACAAUUUAUGCAAUCCAGUUCAUCUGCUUAGCAACAGGAAGGGUGGGGCUCAAAACAGAGGAAAACUACACCAGCAGCAUUCUACAAUUGUGAAAUGAGAAAGGAGGAAUGGGGAACUGGCGAGAGGCCAUAGGCAACAAUUUUCAAUACUAAAUAAAACUAUUUUCAAUGCUUUCAGUACUAAAUCCCCAAAGAUAAGUCCAACAGGGAGUGUUCUAUACUCUCCUCAUACAAAUCUCUGUAAUUACAGUCUUCCC
This 5279-nucleotide long non-coding RNA is filed under the name Sus scrofa (pig). Its description in RNAcentral is "lncRNA (ENSSSCG00015047082.1)". The record is from RNAcentral. Lineage: Eukaryota; Metazoa; Chordata; Mammalia; Artiodactyla; Suidae.